AGAGUUUGAUCCUGGCUCAGGAUGAACGCUGGCGGCGUGCCUAAUACAUGCAAGUCGAGCGAACGGACGAGAAGCUUGCUUCUCUGAUGUUAGCGGCGGACGGGUGAGUAACACGUGGAUAACCUACCUAUAAGACUGGGAUAACUUCGGGAAACCGGAGCUAAUACCGGAUAAUAUUUUGAACCGCAUGGUUCAAAAGUGAAAGGCGGUCUUGCUGUCACUUAUAGAUGGAUCCGCGCUGCAUUAGCUAGUUGGUAAGGUAACGGCUUACCAAGGCAACGAUGCAUAGCCGACCUGAGAGGGUGAUCGGCCACACUGGAACUGAGACACGGUCCAGACUCCUACGGGAGGCAGCAGUAGGGAAUCUUCCGCAAUGGGCGAAAGCCUGACGGAGCAACGCCGCGUGAGUGAUGAAGGUCUUCGGAUCGUAAAACUCUGUUAUUAGGGAAGAACAUAUGUGUAAGUAACUGUGCACAUCUUGACGGUACCUAAUCAGAAAGCCACGGCUAACUACGUGCCAGCAGCCGCGGUAAUACGUAGGUGGUAAGCGUUAUCCGGAAUUAUUGGGCGUAAAGCGCGCGUAGGCGGUUUUUUAAGUCUGAUGUGAAAGCCCACGGCUCAACCGUGGAGGGUCAUUGGAAACUGGAAAACUUGAGUGCAGAAGAGGAAAGUGGAAUUCCAUGUGUAGCGGUGAAAUGCGCAGAGAUAUGGAGGAACACCAGUGGCGAAGGCGACUUUCUGGUCUGUAACUGACGCUGAUGUGCGAAAGCGUGGGGAUCAAACCGGAUUAGAUACCCUGGUAGUCC
RNAcentral lists this ribosomal RNA (806 nucleotides) under uncultured bacterium. RNAcentral describes it as "bacterial SSU rRNA". It matches the Rfam family "Bacterial small subunit ribosomal RNA", at positions 8 to 796 of the family's 1533-position model. The record is from RNAcentral.